AAAUAAUUGGGUUUAUCAAAUAUGGAUAAACCCUGUUAUUUCAUGCAGUUAAGCAUAUUGUUUGGGGCAAGAACUAUAACUCUAGUAAUGUUAAUUCAAGGGCAAUAACUCUACACUUCCUGGUGUUGGAGCGUGCGCGUUAAGCUCUUCCUUUUAUAUUCAACUGUUCCCUGAGUCGGUCACAAAAAAUCAACUAGAGAAAUAAUCAAGUUUUAUCGUAUUAAUCGGCGAGUUUUAUUACUUUAUACCGGCAUAUUAUUUCAAUAUCAUGCUGAGGGUAAGGAACCAAAGGGCAUCUAAGGCGAGAAGCCCAUACGCAGCCGUGCCAAAUGGAACAAAUACAGUUGCCUCGAGUAGUGUAUUGGCACGAGGUCGUCGCGGAAAUCGUCGAGGAGGUCAAGUGAGACAGCCCGUUGCAAACAUCUCCAAUAUUAAUGCUCCUCCGACACAAGCGACUCCUCCAACACCUGCGGCUCCGACGACACCAGCGACACAGGCGUCAACUGAAGCAGGCCAGGGAAUGUCACGGAGCGGGAUGAUUGGGAUGAUUCCUCACAACAUGCCGCCCAUAGUUAACCCCACCCCUGACGCACCAAGUGCGUUGUCGUCACAUGUUCCCACCAACAUGAAUCAAGGUACAGAAAAUUAUUUGGAAAAUAAUAUUGACGCGCCAAACCCAUUUAACAGUGUUACUUCUAUACUGGGAUCCCAUGUAUCCCAAGCUCUUAAAGAUAAAAUUUGGAAUGGCGAAUUUGUUCAUUUAAACAAAUUGUUGCUUCAAGAGCCUUGCACAGAAAUGCAAAAUCAAAUUGUUUUCGAGGGGGGUGUUUUUCAGGUCAAACCAAAAAAUAAAGAAACAAAAAUUACAAACUUCUCGCAAUGGAUGGAUGCAUUUUUCAUAUAUGCUUCUAUAUACUUAGAGAAACAUCCACUACAAGCCAUUUCACUCUUCAGGUAUAUGUCAACAAUAAAAAGGGGGGCUGCUAGUAACAAUUCAGGUUGGUUGGAUUAUGAUGUGCAAUUUCGCUUAAAGAAGUCCGUCGACUCCUCUUUAAACUGGGGAUCUAUUGAUGCUGAACUAUGGUUGUUUUACAUGCAAACAGUUAAUAAAACCCAAUUGUCAAAUCAGUCAACUCGUAGGUAUUUGAAAUGUUAUGCCUACAAUUAUGAAGGUGUUUGUCAGAAACAAUAUUGCAAGUAUUUGCAUCAGUGCAUUUCAUGUAAUGCAUAUCAUCCCUCCAUUAACUGCUUCAAAAAUAAUCAAUCUAAUCAAAUUCCCAAAAAUGCACCUGCUCGUUCGGAAAAUUUUAAUUCCAACAACAAAUUUUUCAGGAAUCGACAACAAACCACAGGACGGCAAACCUACAUGUAACUUGUUACAUAAAUUAUGGGAUAUUGGCAGCACUCCAAUCAAUACAUCUAACUUCGAUUCUUUACUGUGGUCAAGAUUCCGACAGUUGGCUCCUACAGCAGACAAUUUUCCAUGUCAAAUUCCUGCUCCAUUUUGGGAGAUUAUUCAUCAACUAUAGAUCAACUGUUAGAAGCCAGUAUAUCUGAAAACUCAAGUAA
RNA transcript from Magallana angulata, 1569 nucleotides. RefSeq lists it as uncharacterized. The transcript has 3 exons. The record is from RefSeq and is a predicted model, not a curated record. Lineage: Eukaryota; Metazoa; Mollusca; Bivalvia; Ostreida; Ostreidae.